This 253-nucleotide ribosomal RNA is filed under the name uncultured bacterium. RNAcentral describes it as "partial 16S ribosomal RNA". It matches the Rfam family "Bacterial small subunit ribosomal RNA", at positions 524 to 776 of the family's 1533-position model. The record is from RNAcentral.
UACGAAGGGGGCUAGCGUUGCUCGGAAUCACUGGGCGUAAAGGGUGCGUAGGCGGGUUCUUAAGUCAGAGGUGAAAUCCUGGAGCUCAACUCCAGAACUGCCUUUGAUACUGAGAGUCUUGAGUUCGGGAGAGGUGAGUGGAACUGCGAGUGUAGAGGUGAAAUUCGUAGAUAUUCGCAAGAACACCAGUGGCGAAGGCGGCUCACUGGCCCGAUACUGACGCUGAGGCACGAAAGCGUGGGGAGCAAACAGG